CCUACGGGAGGCAGCAGUGGGGAAUAUUGGGCAAUGGGCGCAAGCCUGACCCAGCAACGCCGCGUGAAGGAAGAAGGCUCUCGGGUUGUAAACCUCUUUUGUCAGGGACGCAGAAAGUGACGGUACUUCACGAAUAAGACACGGCUAACAACGGGCUAGCAGCCGCGGUAAUACGGAGGUGGCAAGCGUUAUUCGGAUUUACUGGGUGUAAAGGGCGUGUAGGCGGGACUGCAAGUCAGAUGUGAAAACCACGGGCUCAACCCGUGGCCUGCAUAUGAAACUGUAGUUCUUGAGUACUGGAGAGGGAGACGGAAUUCCUGGUGUAGCAGUGAAAUGCGUAGAUAUUAGGAGGAACACCAGUGGCGAAGGCGGUCUGCUGGACAGCAACUGACGCUGAGGCGCGAAGGCGAGGGGAGCGAACGGGAUUAGAUACCCGUGUAGUC
Molecule: ribosomal RNA, 443 nt
Filed under: uncultured bacterium
Lineage: Bacteria
Description: partial 16S ribosomal RNA
Rfam family: Bacterial small subunit ribosomal RNA
Source: RNAcentral